RNAcentral lists this ribosomal RNA (292 nucleotides) under uncultured bacterium. RNAcentral describes it as "partial 16S ribosomal RNA". It matches the Rfam family "Bacterial small subunit ribosomal RNA", at positions 505 to 796 of the family's 1533-position model. The record is from RNAcentral.
GUGCCAGCCGCCGCGGUAAUACAGAGGGUGCAAACGUUGCUCGGAAUUAUUGGGCGUAAAGCGCACGUAGGCGGUUCGAUAAGUUGGAUGUGAAAACCCUGGGCUCAACCCUGGAAGUGCAUCCAAGACUGUCAAGCUAGAGUGUCGGAGGGGGUCGGAGAAUUCCCGGUGUAGAGGUGAAAUUCGUAGAUAUCGGGAGGAACAUCUGUGGCGAAGGCGCCGACCUGGACGACAACUGACGCUGAGGUGCGAAAGCAUGGGGAGCAAACAGGAUUAGAUACCCCCGUAGUCC